Molecule: transfer RNA, 72 nt
Filed under: Bacteroidota bacterium
Lineage: Bacteria; Pseudomonadati; Bacteroidota
Also listed under: 1 other name
Description: Bacteroidetes bacterium (activated sludge metagenome) tRNA-Phe
Rfam family: tRNA
About the family: Transfer RNA (tRNA) molecules are approximately 80 nucleotides in length.
Source: RNAcentral
GGAACUGUAGCUUAAUUGGUAGAGUGACCGGUUGAAGCCCGGUAGGCGGUGGUUCAAUUCCAUCCGGUUCCA